CCUACGGGAUGCACCAGUGGGGAAUCUUGCGCAAUGGGCGAAAGCCUGACGCAGCAACGCCGCGUGCGGGAUGAAGGCCUUCGGGUUGUAAACCGCUUUCAGUGGGGACGAAUUCAGACGGUACCCACAGAAGAAGCCCCGGCCAACUACGUGCCAGCAGCCGCGGUAACACGUAGGGGGCGAGCGUUGUCCGGAAUCAUUGGGCGUAAAGAGCUCGUAGGCGGCUCAGUAAGUCGGGUGUGAAACCCCUAGGCUCAACCUAGGGACGCCACCCGAUACUGCUGUGGCUAGAGUCCAGUAGGGGAGUGUGGAAUUCCCGGUGUAGCGGUGAAAUGCGCAGAUAUCGGAAGGAACACCAGCGGCGAAGGCGGCACUCUGGGCUGGAACUGACGCUGAGGAGCGAAAGCGUGGGUAGCAAACAGGAUUAGAUACCCUUGUAGUC
RNAcentral lists this ribosomal RNA (442 nucleotides) under uncultured bacterium. RNAcentral describes it as "bacterial SSU rRNA". It matches the Rfam family "Bacterial small subunit ribosomal RNA", at positions 338 to 795 of the family's 1533-position model. The record is from RNAcentral.